This is a long non-coding RNA of Dromaius novaehollandiae (emu), 2930 nucleotides long. RefSeq lists it as uncharacterized. NCBI's taxonomy places the organism in Eukaryota, Metazoa, Chordata, Aves, Casuariiformes, Dromaiidae. The transcript is spliced from 3 exons. The record is from RefSeq and is a predicted model, not a curated record.
CGCCCGCAGUGCGGUGCCUGCUUCCCUGAGCUGAAGCUUUGCUCCCCGCCGGAGGAGCACAGCGGUGGGGUGCGGAGGGCAGAAGUCUCAGACAGGCUACACCAUCCUUUCUUGUGGCAAGAUAAGGUCUCUUUCUAACAGAAAAUACUGAUUAGAACACGCUGAAGCACAUGUAGGUGUCGCAGGAUAAAAAAGAACUCAGGAAGGAAACAGCAGCGUCUCUGCAGACGAGGCAUUUCUGGGGAAAUAAAGGAGGCCAGAAAGCAAGCUGUUGCAGGAAGUCAGUAAUCUGGCCUCCCAUCUUGGCUGGCUGCUGAACUGGUGCUCCUUCUCCCCACCAUGCUGGAAUAGGCUGUGGCUUCCCGUUUCCUUCAGCCCACCUCAGUGUUUCUCAUGCCGUCUGCUUGUUAAAAGGAGAACAGUUCAGGAGGAGAUUCCAAUUCUGUGAUGAUUUUGCUUCUGCAAAAAUUGUUAGCAUUACUAGUUUGCUUUUACAACCUCACAGGACUGCAGGAAUACAAGAACACAUUCUAACUGCAUCACAGCCGGAACACCACAGACAGAAGUUUAAAGAUUUGGAAAAGGUUAUCAUGAACAAGAAACUAAAAAAUAAAUUCCUCUGGCAUUGUGCUGAUAAUCUUAAACAGGAAAUGUUUGUUUUUCCUGUCCAGCUUGGAUGACUGCAUUCUGUCAAGCCUGCCUUUUGGUAUUCUCCCCUUCCAACAGUUUUACAGGGCUCACUUCAGAAGCAUAAUGAAGUGUCAUGUCUUGCUAAUAAUAAUAAAUAGGAAUAUGGAAAUUAAAAACUAAAUAAAUUUAGCUAGGGUACAGUUUGAAGAGUAGUGCUGCUAUCAGCAACCACUAGUCCAAUCCAUCAAGCUGUUCUUCUGCAUGUAAGGUUACUUGUUGACAUAAUAUAAAAUGUAAUAUAUCUUUUUAGUUUUGGUACAAAUGAGAAAACAAAUUGUGCUUCUGGAAACCCACAGAGUUAAUGGAAACCAGAAUUAAUCAGGUUCUUUGUGCAUGAUGGAAAUGAAGCUGCUACGGAUUUUCCUAUGGAGGUAUAUGUAUGCACUGAAAGUUUACACUGGCGUUUACUGUAUGAACUGGCGUACAAUGAAUGAUUUACAGUAGAUUUUUAAUACUUUUUAAAUUACAGCCAAAACAUGAUUAUUAGCCUUAACUGUGAAAAAGGCUGUACGAGUCCUGACGAACCUUCCUGUUAUCUUUGUUUACCUGUUUGUUUAUAAACUAAAAAUAGUAGGAAAAGAAUAAACACUUUCAGAUAUGCAACCAUAGGAAAUGAUCAAAGGGGAAAAGAACAAAGAAGAUAGGGUAGAAGAACAGUGAACUCAUCCUAACAAGUAGAUCUGGACACAUAGCCAAAACCCAUAAAGGAACAGAUGGAAAAAGCAACACAGACAGAAGCAAAGCAGAGUUAUGACUUAAAUGCAAACCCCUUGUGAAAGAAAUUAUAUCUUGGGCCUUUACAAAAUAAUUCUAAUUUCAGUUACACAUCUUUUCCUCUCUUACCCUGUUUCUGAUGAUCAUAAAGCAGCACAUGUAGUAUCCACCCUUUCACAGCUAUCAUGUAAAGAAAUAACAAAAAUAGAAGCUUGGGGGCAAAUGUAUAUCAAGAAAGUAGUACGAAACAAACAGUAUCAUGGAGUUACCAGUUAGCUUUUGCAAUUCCAUUAUAAAUUCUUCUCCUAAGAAGUUAUAAGAAAGAUUUGACAACUCAGUUUAGUAUGUAAGAGAUAGCGUAUGUCUUAUCUUUACUGAUUUCAAGUAAACACCAAAAAUAAACAAGAGCAGCAUGACAAACCAGAAUGUUUCAAGAGGUAUGGCUUAUCUGGGUAGAAGCCUGCCAAUUAAGGGAUGAAGAGGUCUUCUCCUGGUUCUGCUUGUUGCUGCAGGUAUCAUGCGAAAACCAGUACUGUAAACAAUCUUAUCAAGUAUAAACCUGCAUUUAUCGGCUGUUACAAGGUAGGUGAAUCCCCCUAUUGUUGCAGGGAAAGACGCUUACCUUUUUAGGCAAGAUGAUCACUGAAGAAAAUAUUAAAAAGAAACGUAUACCAGAUAUAGUACUUCAAGGUAUGUUGAAAGCAAUUUAGAAUUGCUUUCAUAUCCAGCUUUAAUGUAUUCUGGAAUUCUGAGUUAUUUUGCAUUACCUGAGGCAGUUCCCAAAUCCAUAGGGUGGUUGCUGAAGAGCAGUACCGCAGCAAAAACGGUAUGCCAGACUGUUACAGACACCUUGCACAACAUGGAGUCGUACUUCAAACUGUUCCCCUACAUUCAAAAACCUAGGGAGACCUUGGGAAAAGCUGUCAAAAUAGGCAUAUGGGCUGGGUAGCAUCCUACUAUUUAUAGUAGUGUAGACACUAUCAUUUCCCCCUUGCGACUACUGUAAUAUAGCAGCUAAUGGAGUGACACUGCAUGCCAGAAUCUAACUUCUUUCCACCUUCAAUUUCAGCAGAACCAGAGAACACCUUUGGACACUGGGAAGUUCAGCUUUCCAGCAACUGCAGUAUCUGAUACCCACAAGUGAAAUUCAAAAUAUUCGACUAUCACGGUUAACCUCUAUUGAGUCUACAAGACUGGCUUAGGAUUUGAAAAUUAACUAUGGUAAUUUUCACAUCAAGAAAAUCACUAAAAGCUGACAUUUGAGAUGUCAGUCUGUUUUUAUAUGAUGUUUGCAUCAGGAUUAGAGGCUGCUUGAAGGAAUUCUGGAUUUUGACUUAUUUGUUCCAUGAUAAACAUCUUUAAUACAAAAUUGCACUUUUGUUUAUUUUUCAUCCACCGUAUGAGACUAGAGCAACUAGUAGCUUCACUUUGCAAUUUCCUGGCUUCUGAAGAUACAGUUUCUGCUUUUCAGGUUUAUGUUAUUAAUAUAAUGUUUUUUACAGUUGAAAUAAAUGCAAACAAAAGUU